UUCCUUUCUCUACUUUUGAGGAUUCCAGAGUGCAGGAGCAGGUCCUCCAUUGUACCACAUGGUCCCACGUGGGGAGGAAGGAGAUACACUUCAGAUGACUUGUACCACAUGCUUUGACCAAAGUGGCUGCAUCAGGGAGGUCCCAGAGCCAUCUCCACGGUGUGAUUUUCCCACUGCGUAUGGCCCAAUUGUGGAGCAGGGAUCCUGGCCCAACUGAACGGCCUCCUGGAACUUCAGCAUGGUUGGCCCUAAAAGCAAGAUUUGCCUGCAAAGAUCUUUACUGCUGGAUGUUGAGGAAGUCAAAGCAUGAAUGAGAUCAAAAGGAACUGCUCAAAUUCAUUGGAAACGACUUGUGAAUGGUUUGUGAAUGAUGGCCCAAGACUUCUAGAAACUGAGAGGAUGACAGGAGGAGGAGUCCAGGUUUGUCCCUUGUCUCAGCUCUUUCCCUAAACUGGGUACUGCUUACUGUUUCCAGCCGAUUUAAUUUUAGAGCUGGACAAAAACUGAAGCACUUUCCCAAUGAGGAAAAGACCAAAGGAAAAGGCAAUAUGAGAUAAACUGAUUAUUGGGUUCAUGAACAGGGGAAAGUGAAAGAAAAGGAAGUUAAGAGCUCUUCCAAGCCAAGAGGGGAGCAGAAAGGGAAACCGAAUGCUCAGAAUUCUAGCAGUGAUGCAGAGCCUUUCUUAAAUCCUUUUAAAAUCGACUGGGGUAUUUCAUGAGUUUGAGUGAUUAUUUUAAUUGGGGAAUAAAAAUAGUGUUUUCUUGAAAUUAACUACUAUU
This 780-nucleotide long non-coding RNA is filed under the name Coturnix japonica (Japanese quail). RNAcentral's name for it is "lncRNA (ENSCJPG00005018039.1)". The record is from RNAcentral. Lineage: Eukaryota; Metazoa; Chordata; Aves; Galliformes; Phasianidae.